GCAAGCCCUAUCUUAGCUCUGCCCCCUGAAAGCUGCAAUUCGAUCGAUUGGAUUGGAUGUGACCAAUACGAUAUAUGCGCUCAGUGCCUGAUGAGCGAAAUCUAAGUCUGGUGAUCUGUUGUUUUCUUUGUCCUUUUUGGAAUAGUCUGAUGAUGAUCGAUGGUGUGGUACGUGUGGGUUUGAGUACUACUUGAAGACCUGUUUUACGGUAAUUGAUGCCCG
Molecule: long non-coding RNA, 222 nt
Filed under: Setaria italica (foxtail millet)
Lineage: Eukaryota; Viridiplantae; Streptophyta; Magnoliopsida; Poales; Poaceae
Description: long non-coding RNA (SITA_LNC006985)
Source: RNAcentral